Molecule: ribosomal RNA, 234 nt
Filed under: uncultured Lactobacillus sp.
Lineage: Bacteria; Bacillati; Bacillota; Bacilli; Lactobacillales; Lactobacillaceae
Description: partial 16S ribosomal RNA
Rfam family: Bacterial small subunit ribosomal RNA
Source: RNAcentral
GCCCAAGAGAUCGGGAUAACACCUGGAAACAGAUGCUAAUACCGGAUAACAACAGAUGAUGCCUAUCAACUGUUUAAAAGAUGGUUCUGCUAUCACUCUUGGAUGGACCUGCGGUGCAUUAGCUAGUUGGUAGGGUAACGGCCUACCAAGGCGAUGAUGCAUAGCCGAGUUGAGAGACUGAUCGGCCACAUUGGGACUGAGACAAGGCCCAAACUCCUACGGGAGGCAGCAGCU